CCUACGGGAGGCAGCAGUGGGGAAUAUUGCACAAUGGGGGAAACCCUGAUGCAGCGACGCCGCGUGAGUGAAGAAGUAUUUCGGUACGUAAAGCUCUAUCAGCAGGGAAGAAAAAAAGUCCUUUGGACUUUGGACGGUACCUGACUAAGAAGCCCCGGCUAAAUACGUGCCAGCAGCCGCGGGAAUACGUAGGGGGCAAGCGUUAUCCGGAUUUACUGGGUGUAAAGGGAGCGUAGACGGCAGCGCAAGCCUGGAGGGAAAUGCCGGGGCCCAACCCCGGAACUGCUGUGGAAUCUGUGGAGCGGGAGUGGAGGAGAGGUAAGCGGAAUUCCUGGUGUAGCGGUGAAAUGCGUAGAUAUUAGGCGGAACACCAGUGGCGAAGGCGGCUUACUGGACUGUAACUGACGUUGAGGCUCGAAAGCGUGGGGAGCAAACAGGAUUAGAUACCCGAGUAGUC
Molecule: ribosomal RNA, 457 nt
Filed under: uncultured bacterium
Lineage: Bacteria
Description: partial 16S ribosomal RNA
Rfam family: Bacterial small subunit ribosomal RNA
Source: RNAcentral